AUUGAACGCUGGCGGCAGGCCUAACACAUGCAAGUCGAACGGUAACAGGAAGCAGCUUGCUGCUUCGCUGACGAGUGGCGGACGGGUGAGUAAUGUCUGGGAAACUGCCUGAUGGAGGGGGAUAACUACUGGAAACGGUAGCUAAUACCGCAUAACGUCGCAAGACCAAAGAGGGGGACCUUAGGGCCUCUUGCCAUCGGAUGUGCCCAGAUGGGAUUAGCUAGUAGGUGGGGUAACGGCUCACCUAGGCGACGAUCCCUAGCUGGUCUGAGAGGAUGACCAGCAACACUGGAACGGAGACACGGUCCAGACUCCUACGGGAGGCAGCAGUGGGGAAUAUUGCACAAUGGGCGCAAGCAUGAUGCAGCCAUGCCGCGUGUAUGAAGAAGGCCUUCGGGUUGUAAAGUACUUUCAGCGGGGAGGAAGGGAGUAAAGUUAAUACCUUUGCUCAUUGACGUUACCCGCAGAAGAAGCACCGGCUAACUCCGUG
Molecule: ribosomal RNA, 490 nt
Filed under: uncultured bacterium
Lineage: Bacteria
Description: partial 16S ribosomal RNA
Rfam family: Bacterial small subunit ribosomal RNA
Source: RNAcentral